UCCUUUGUUGCCAGCGGUCCGGCCGGGAACUCAAAGGAGACUGCCAGUGAUAAACUGGAGGAAGGUGGGGAUGACGUCAAGUCAUCAUGGCCCUUACGACCAGGGCUACACACGUGCUACAAUGGCGCAUACAAAGAGAAGCGACCUCGCGAGAGCAAGCGGACCUCAUAAAGUGCGUCGUAGUCCGGAUUGGAGUCUGCAACUCGACUCCAUGAAGUCGGAAUCGCUAGUAAUCGUGGAUCAGAAUGCCACGGUGAAUACGUUCCCGGGCCUUGUACACACCGCCCGUCACACCAUGGGAGUGGGUUGCAAAAGAAGUAGGUAGCUUAACCUUCGGGAGGGCGCUUACCACUUUGUGAUUCAUGACUGGGGUGAAGUCGUAACAAGGUAACCGUAGGGGAACCUGCGGUUGGAUCACCUCCUU
This 424-nucleotide ribosomal RNA is filed under the name Escherichia coli. RNAcentral's name for it is "bacterial SSU rRNA". It matches the Rfam family "Bacterial small subunit ribosomal RNA", at positions 1108 to 1532 of the family's 1533-position model. The record is from RNAcentral. Lineage: Bacteria; Pseudomonadati; Pseudomonadota; Gammaproteobacteria; Enterobacterales; Enterobacteriaceae. RNAcentral also lists the same sequence under 1 other name.